Molecule: ribosomal RNA, 253 nt
Filed under: uncultured bacterium
Lineage: Bacteria
Description: partial 16S ribosomal RNA
Rfam family: Bacterial small subunit ribosomal RNA
Source: RNAcentral
UACGGAGGGUGCAAGCGUUAAUCGGAAUUACUGGGCGUAAAGCGCACGCAGGCGGUUGGAUAAGCUAGAUGGGAAAGACCCGGGCUCAACCUGGGAAUUGCAUUUAAAACUGUCCAGCUAGAGUUUUGUAGAGGGGGGUAGAAUUCCAGGUGUAGCGGUGAAAUGCGUAGAGAUCUGGAGGAAUACCGGUGGCGAAGGCGGCCCCCUGGACAAAGACUGACGCUCAGGUGCGAAAGCGUGGGGAGCAAACAGG